UACGUAGGGUGCGAGCGUUGUCCGGAAUUAUUGGGCGUAAAGAGCUUGUAGGCGGUUUGUCGCGUCUGCUGUGAAAUCUCAAGGCUCAACCUUGAGCUUGCAGUGGGUACGGGCAGACUAGAGUGUGGUAGGGGAGACUGGAAUUCCUGGUGUAGCGGUGAAAUGCGCAGAUAUCAGGAGGAACACCGGUGGCGAAGGCGGAUCUCUGGGCCAUUACGGACGCUGAGGAGCGAAAGCGUGGGGAGCGAACAGG
RNAcentral lists this ribosomal RNA (253 nucleotides) under uncultured bacterium. RNAcentral's name for it is "partial 16S ribosomal RNA". It matches the Rfam family "Bacterial small subunit ribosomal RNA", at positions 524 to 776 of the family's 1533-position model. The record is from RNAcentral.